RNAcentral lists this unclassified non-coding RNA (87 nucleotides) under Pseudomonas sp. bs2935. Lineage: Bacteria; Pseudomonadati; Pseudomonadota; Gammaproteobacteria; Pseudomonadales; Pseudomonadaceae. The record is from RNAcentral.
UGUGGGAGCUGGCUUGCCUGCGAUGCAGACACCUGGGUGUAUCAGUGAUACCCAGGUGAUGUUAUCGCAGGCAAGCCAGCUCCCACA